Molecule: ribosomal RNA, 482 nt
Filed under: uncultured bacterium
Lineage: Bacteria
Description: bacterial SSU rRNA
Rfam family: Bacterial small subunit ribosomal RNA
Source: RNAcentral
GAUGAACGCUGGCGGCGUGCCUAAUACAUGCAAGUCGAGCGAACCACUUCGGUGGUGAGCGGCGAACGGGUGAGUAACACGUAGGUGAUCUGCCCAUCAGACGGGGACAACGAUUGGAAACGAUCGCUAAUACCGGAUAGGACGAAAGUUUAAAGGUGCUUCUGGCACCGCUGAUGGAUGAGCCUGCGGCGCAUUAGCUAGUUGGUAGGGUAAAGGCCUACCAAGGCGACGAUGCGUAGCCGACCUGAGAGGGUGAACGGCCACACUGGGACUGAGACACGGCCCAGACUCCUACGGGAGGCAGCAGUAGGGAAUCUUCGGCAAUGGGCGAAAGCCUGACCGAGCAACGCCGCGUGAAUGAUGAAGGCCUUCGGUUGUAAAUUCUGUUAUAAGGGAAGAACGACUUUAGUAGGAAAUGGCUAGAGUGUGACGGUACCUUAUGAGAAAGCCACGGCUAACUACGUGCCAGCAGCCGCGGUAAU